CACUGAGUCAUUUAAACUCCAGCAUGGCAAGGCUGGAGUAUGGAUGGAGCAUUAACUAUCAGGGCUAUAAUCCUCAGUUACUAUGCUAGAACUCAAGCUAGAAGAAAAUCCCAUCACAGAAAUAAACACAAGCCUUGGUACCGUGAGGUUAGGCUGUCUGCUCAAGAUCGGUCAACGGCAGAGUUCGGAGUAGGAUCCAGGUGUCCUGAUUCCUAGUCCUUGCUGUUACCACCACACAUGUUUUCUUUCAGAGUUUGAGACUCGGAUUUAAAGGUCUGUUGUUAAAACGUGUUAGCUAACAAGCGAUUGUUCAACAUCUUAUAAAAAUCUACUGAAGGUGAGGAAGUGCAGACUGCUAAGACUGGAGCCUGGACAAACUCCCAUGUAGAUAAGUAAAAUGAAGUGGGCCCUGUUAUGACAACUAAGGCUGAUGAAAAGUGGGAGGCUUUUUCAGAGACUAUUCACAGUCAUGUGCUUGGGGAAAACUUUCCGAAGUAGUUAAGUGCCAUUUUCAAAAGUGACUUAGGAGCCUGAGUCUCAUUGAAAAUCAGCGGGAUUUUGGCCCACACAUUUAAAGUCCAAUUGACUUUCAAUGAGAUUUAGGCUCCCAAGUCACUUAAGUACUUUUGAAAAUGUUACCCCCAAUCUAGCGGCGAGCCACUGAACAAUGGAUCACCUUGGAGGCUUUCAGAAUGGGGGGUUUGCUCUAUCGAGGUGCUAUCUUAACAUAAACUCCGUUUUUUGGUGCUAGUGACGAUACAGAUGCCAACUGCAAAGGAAUCUGAAAAAGAGAAAAUAAAUUACAUAUUUUAUACAUGUACUCGCUUUCACACAGUGCGCGCGUGUAAAAGAUUCACAAAUACAAAUUGAUACUUUCAGUUUCAGAUUAACUCAUACAGACGUCAUGGAAGUUGUAAAGUGUCCUUUUUAUAGCCAGUUGUUGGCAGUAGAAUGGUAAAAAUAAUUUUUUUUUUAGGUUAGGCAGUGGAUGCCCAGGUAUCUUACAAAUCUAAAUAAAAUAAACUUCCAUAAGCUCUAGAGCUGCUAAAUAUACAGUAGGUGCAAACACAGAAGUACCAACGUACUCUGAUAAACACACUGGUGUAAACUGACAUAGACUAUUCAUACCAGCAGAGAUCUGGGCUGUAGGCUCUAUGGUUUAUAGAAGUUUGUUUUAUUUGCUAAAUGACAAAUCCAAUUAUAUUUUGAUUAAAGUAAUGUGAUUCAG
Long non-coding RNA from Dermochelys coriacea (leatherback sea turtle), 1228 nucleotides. RefSeq lists it as uncharacterized. NCBI's taxonomy places the organism in Eukaryota, Metazoa, Chordata, Testudines, Dermochelyidae. The transcript has 2 exons. The record is from RefSeq and is a predicted model, not a curated record.